RNAcentral lists this ribosomal RNA (400 nucleotides) under uncultured bacterium. Its description in RNAcentral is "bacterial SSU rRNA". It matches the Rfam family "Bacterial small subunit ribosomal RNA", at positions 355 to 772 of the family's 1533-position model. The record is from RNAcentral.
UAAGGAAUAUUGGACAAUGGGGGCAACCCUGAUCCAGCCAUGCCGCGUGAGUGAAGAAGGCCUUCGGGUUGUAAAGCUCUUUCAGGUGCGAAGAUGAUGACGGUAACACCAGAAGAAGCUCCGGCUAACUCCGUGCCAGCAGCCGCGGUAAUACGGAGGGAGCGAGCGUUGUUCGGAAUCACUGGGCGUAAAGCGUACGUAGGCGGUCCUGCAAGUCAGGAGUGAAAGCCCAGGGCUUAACCUUGGAAUUGCUCUUGAAACUGCAAGACUAGAGUCCCGGAGAGGUUGGCGGAAUUCCGAGUGUAGAGGUGAAAUUCGCAGAUAUUCGGAGGAACACCAGUGGCGAAAGCGGCCAACUGGACGGGAACUGACGCUGAGGUACGAAAGCGUGGGGAGCAAA